GUUCAGGAAAAGGGCAAACAACAUCCGUUAAUAGACACUAUCAUAUCCAAAAGCCAAUAUAAUAAGAACAGUUAAGCGCUAAUGAGAUUAACACAUUUUUACGUUAGCAUGAAAUCAUUCAAACAAGGAUAUAAAUUGCCACAGAUAAGCUCUAAAGAGAUUAAAACUUUCUAUGUUACUGUUAGCAUGGAAUUAUUCAAAUAAGAUUAUAUAAAUUGAUCCCUUUUAGUGAUCCACUAAUGUUCUCCGGGCCAUCACUCUACCCGUACUGAAGAAUAUAACCGAUCAAGAUGAAUUCAUGGUUCACCGGAAAUUACCUUUCUUAAAUUGGAGGCUUGUU
This 340-nucleotide unclassified non-coding RNA is filed under the name Hevea brasiliensis (rubber tree). The record is from RNAcentral. Lineage: Eukaryota; Viridiplantae; Streptophyta; Magnoliopsida; Malpighiales; Euphorbiaceae.